This 458-nucleotide ribosomal RNA is filed under the name uncultured Eubacteriales bacterium. RNAcentral describes it as "bacterial SSU rRNA". It matches the Rfam family "Bacterial small subunit ribosomal RNA", at positions 52 to 520 of the family's 1533-position model. The record is from RNAcentral. Lineage: Bacteria; Bacillati; Bacillota; Clostridia; Eubacteriales.
CACAUGCAAGUCGAGCGCGUCUGAUUUGAUGCUUGCAUUAAUGAAAGAUGAGCGGCGGACGGGUGAGUAACGCGUGGGUAACCUGCCCUAUACACAUGGAUAACAUACUGAAAAGUUUACUAAUACAUGAUAAUAUAUAUUUACGGCAUCGUAGAUAUAUCAAAGUGUUAGCGGUAUAGGAUGGACCCGCGUCUGAUUAGCUAGUUGGUGAGAUAACUGCCCACCAAGGCGACGAUCAGUAGCCGACCUGAGAGGGUGAUCGGCCACAUUGGAACUGAGACACGGUCCAAACUCCUACGGGAGGCAGCAGUGGGGAAUAUUGCACAAUGGGCGCAAGCCUGAUGCAGCAACGCCGCGUGAACGAUGAAGGUCUUCGGAUCGUAAAGUUCUGUUGCAGGGGAAGAUAAUGACGGUACCCUGUGAGGAAGCCCCGGCUAACUACGUGCCAGCAGCCGCGG